GGUUAUAUAGUGAAUUCCACUAUCACAAUGAAAUUUCAAUUCAUAGAAAGAAUAACUA
RNAcentral lists this transfer RNA (58 nucleotides) under Trichuris sp. GHL-2013. Its description in RNAcentral is "tRNA-Glu". The record is from RNAcentral. Lineage: Eukaryota; Metazoa; Nematoda; Enoplea; Trichinellida; Trichuridae.